UACGUAGGCAGCGAGCGUUGUUCGGAGUUACUGGGCGUAAAGGGUGCGUAGGCGGGUUUUUAAGUCAGGGGUGAAAUCCUGGAGCUCAACUCCAGAACUGCCUUUGAUACUGAAGAUCUUGAGUUCGGGAGAGGUGAGUGGAACUGCGAGUGUAGAGGUGAAAUUCGUAGAUAUUCGCAAGAACACCAGUGGCGAAGGCGGCUCACUGGCCCGAUACUGACGCUGAGGCACGAAAGCGUGGGGAGCAAACAGG
Molecule: ribosomal RNA, 253 nt
Filed under: uncultured bacterium
Lineage: Bacteria
Description: partial 16S ribosomal RNA
Rfam family: Bacterial small subunit ribosomal RNA
Source: RNAcentral